Equus caballus (horse) is the source of this 3787-nucleotide non-coding RNA. Lineage: Eukaryota; Metazoa; Chordata; Mammalia; Perissodactyla; Equidae. The record is from RefSeq and is a predicted model, not a curated record.
UCCAUCACAGAGUUCACCUGUCCAAAGUCCUUGACAAGGAAAACUGCCCCCACCCCUGCUCUUCACGCUGAGCGGCAGUGGGCUGGCUGUCCCCUCUUACCCAAGCUGAUUGGACCACGGAAGGACAUCUGACCCAAGGGCAGCCAAUCCAUUGACUGGCCGAGGACCGAUUCCUUCCCUAGUCUGGAAAGAAGAUCUAGCCAAUCAGGUUCCCUGUCUCAGGAGUUCAAACAAGGAAACGGUGGGAGAGUCCAGUAAGAGGUGGUCUUGCCGGAAGGUGACUGUGGCAGUAGAAACCAAAGCAGGAGCCAGGUGGUAAAGAAAACUCAGAGCAAAGAGGAGGUAACUGCGUUCUAUGAGUAGAGGCAGCACGUUGCGAAAACGGUGCUGUUGAGUUUCCAGGGCUGGCCAAGCCCACAGCUGCUGCCAGGUCUGAGCUUCCCCAGGCUGGGAUGUUUAGACCUUCCUGGAUUUCUGCGUCUGCAGCGUCUUAGUGUUUCUUGAGAUUGGCAACAAUUUAAAAGUCAGACAAUUCAAAUAUUGAAGAGAAUUUGGAACAACUGGAAUGUUUAACCGCUGCUGAUAGGAGUGUAAAUCACUACAACCACUCUGGAAGACAAUUUGGCAUCAUCUCUUAAAGCUGAACGUUCGUAUGCCAUUGAUCCAGCAGCUCCUUUCCCAGGUGUAUCCCUGGAGAAACUGGUGCCCAGUACAUCAGGAAGCACGUUCAGUGAUGUUCAUAGCAGCACGAUUUAUGUAGCGGAAAUACAGAACUGACCCAAAUGUCCAUCAAUACAUUUAUAGAUGAGUUGUGGAAUAGCCAUCAGUGUUGUAUAUAAAAGGGAAGAGAAAACUGGCAGCUCCAAUGAUGAAAUUGAGUUUGCUCUCGCAUUAGAGUAAUCUAUGAAGAGCUUAGUGAAGUUUGGGUCAAAUUGACCAUCACUGUGAACAUAUCAAAUGGAUAAGUCUCAGACACAUCAUCUUGAGUGAAAGAAGCAAAUCAGAGAAAUACAUACAUUAUGAUUCACUUUAUAUAAUAUCAGAAGCAGGGAAAAACCAAACAAUAUCUUGCAUUAGGAUACAAACAUCUGUGGCAUAAUGAGGAAGAAGAGCAAACGAAUAAUGAGCACCAAGUUCAGGGUGAUGGUGACCUCUGGAGGGGGAGGGCACAGGGUAGCAUCGGAAACUUCAAAAGUAAUGGUCAUCCUGUUUCUCUUGCACUGGACGGUGUGGUCACGUAUCUUCAUUUUAGCAAUAUUCUUUAUAUCUUACAUAUAUUUUAUAAAUAUCACUUUGCAUCUGUUUCAGUUUGAAUAAAAACAAACUUUUAAAACCUUCUAUAUGCACUACCGCCACGUAGUAUCAUGCUAAUCUCAAGGUUUUUCUGCAGACUCGGCUUGUUUGUAUUAGACUAUAAUUACCACCUUUUAGAUUCGAGUGUCACUGCUCAGUGUAGUGGUCUUUUAUUGCGUUGCCUGCUCAGAACCUAUGGUAGAUAGCCUGUAAAAUGCUCCCCAGUGAUCUCUACCUCCUGGUCUUCACACCCCCUCCCCUAGAAUGCAGGCUGGACCCAGCAACUCACUUCUUACAAACAGAAAACAGCAAAAGUGAUGCAAUGUCACCUCAGAGAUUAGGUUACAAAAAGACUGUGGCUUCUGUCUUGGGUGCCCUCUCCUGCUCUUCCACUUGCUCUGAGGAAAACCAGCUGCCAUAUUAUGAGCUGUCCUGUGGAAAGAUCUACGUGUCAAGGGACUGAUGUCUCUGGCCAAUAGUCAGCAAGGACCUGAGGCCUGCCAACAGGCACAUAAGUGAACUUGGAAGCAGAUCUGCUGUCGUUGAGCCUCAAGAUGACUGUACCCUGGCCGAUACCUUGAUUGCAACCUCGUGACAGACAAGGUUUGAGUCAGAGACACCCAGCUAAGCCACACCCUGAUUCCUGACCUACAGAAACUCUUAAAUAGUAUUUGUUGUUUUCAGCCACUGAGGUUGGGGGUAAUUUGUUAGCAGCAAUUGAUAACUUGUAGAGGAUCUCUUGUUCUGGGAACAGUUCCCUUGUUUGGGGGAACUAUAUCUCUUUCACCACUUCUUCACCUUAAGGUGUCAAUGGGUGCGGCCAUCUUAUAUGAUUCUCUCUUCCAAGGCACAGUCAUUGGUCCAUGAGUGGGCACCUGACCCAAGCUGGGCCAACCGUAGUAACUCCUCCAGACAUUGUAGUUUGCAUACCCAACAUCUGUUCCCUCUUUUCUCCUUCCUAAGAGAACCAUACCUCAAGGAGACAGUCAGCCAGAGAGAAUAAGGCUAAUGUACAGAGCAAAGUAGCAAAGAAAAACCAAGAAGGGCAUUGUGUUCAGCACUUGGAACCUCUGUAAGGGAGUCAACCAGGGUGGUCUUCUCACUUCAUCUUAACUCUUUCCAAAGACAAGACCUCCUACGACUAACUUGCUUUUCCCAUCCCAAGAUCCAGCAUUGUGCACAUUUCAGGAAAUAAUUGGUUCUCUUGGUAAAAUUUAAUUUAUUUAAUUUAAAGUCCUGAACACUGGCCACUGGGGCUAUGUAUUUAUACCAUUUCACGAAUUUAUAUAAUUUCAUAAAGCUUAUAGUGGUAUGCUGGAUGACCACACAGCAACUUAGGUAUUUCAGUGGCUAAGAGGGAAUCUUUAUCUUUCAAAGUCAUGUGUUUAUGCUAUGUGUUUUAUUUCACUCAAUCUUCAUUAAGCUCUUUCCUACCAUGCUGUAAUGCAAAACCAUCUUUAUUUCUAUUUAACUUCCUAUUUGAGCUACCAGUCUUUUUAUCACUUUUAUGUAGCAUGCUCAAAUCAGACCCCAUAUACCAUGUUAUAUAUUUUCAUAUCCAACCAUGUGUUCAGUUACUGCUGCCUAGACUUAAGAAUAUCAAUAUUCAAGUGUCACUCUAUUAUUAUUAUUUUUCUUUGAGCCAUUGAGCCUGCAUUUCUAAGGCUUCGGAAUUUAACUUUCCUACUUUACUCAAUUUUGCCAGUGAUAGUCCAUAGCACAUGCAUUCAUGAUAGCUUGUAACCGUGUCAAAAAGGAAACUAAAUCUUGAUAAAAUUUCUCUCUCGUAGCUUUCUCUUGUCUCCAAGCGUGUCCUAGCAGCGUAUCCAUGGUCUGUCUGCAUUAGGACUCUAUAACUGAAAUUUCAGCACAUUUAAACGGAAUUGUCUCACACACAGUACAUUGAAUAACAUCAUUAUACAAAACAGCAUUGAAUUGUGCCUGCAUGACCGAUUAUCUAUAUUCUUGGAAGAAUGUGAUAAUAUUUGCUGUUCCAUGUUCUACACCCUUAUCGUUAAAAGGAGAUUCCUGUAACUGGCCCUUUAGCCUUGGUUGCUGUUCUAUUACUUGGUGCUUGAAUCCCAUCCAGAAACUCUUUCCGUGCCACCCCCCCCCACCCGCCUUACACAUGCAUGCUAUCAGGAACACACGAAGGCUCUUGGCAGUCUUAACUAAUGGAGUGUUAGCUAAUUACACACCCAGCCACAUGCAAACUUUAAACUUAGUUGAAUACGGCCGGUGUACGUAUGACUCAAAGGGCACAGGUGUGAAUGUUCAAAAAGUUUUUUUUUUUAAUUUGGAAUUUUGAAAAAUCUCAGUAGCCCCGACCACAGAAUCCUAUCCUUCCCUUGUUUAAUUUUUACACUCGUGAAUUCUGCCCGUGGUGUUAUGUAUAUAUUUUUUGCGACUUGUUUUUUUCCAUUAUAUAUCAGAUGUAUAUAGAAAGCCUUUCCUUGGGGAAAAAAAUACAUAAACUCAAUCUACGUUACUGUUC